Molecule: ribosomal RNA, 253 nt
Filed under: uncultured bacterium
Lineage: Bacteria
Description: partial 16S ribosomal RNA
Rfam family: Bacterial small subunit ribosomal RNA
Source: RNAcentral
GACGUAGGGCGCGAGCGUUGUCCGGAUUUAUUGGGCGUAAAGAGCUCGUAGGCGGCUUGUCGCGUCGUCUGUGAAAUCCCGCGGCUCAACCGCGGGUCUGCAGUCGAUACGGGCAGGCUAGAGUUCGGUAGGGGAGACUGGAAUUCCUGGUGUAGCGGUGAAAUGCGCAGAUAUCAGGAGGAACACCGGUGGCGAAGGCGGGUCGCUGGGCCGAUAUUGACGCUGAGGAGCGAAAGCGUGGGUAGCAAACAGG